GCCCCUUCGCCCGACCCGCCCCGAGAGGCGCUAGUAGGGCGGGGGUGGCAUCGGCGGGGCUGGCUGCUAUGGGCCCUGCUUUGUGCGCCGGGGGCGCGGAGGAUCCGCCGCGGCUCUCCCGGGCCGCUGGAAGGCGCCUCAGUGGGGCCGAGCCCUGCGCCGCCACGGCCCCCGGCUGACUCCCAGGGCCCCGCAGGGCCGGUCUGAGGCGAGGCGGAGCACCUGCAGGGACGACGGGCGGGGGCUCGAGAAAAUCUACACCAAAUACAGGGCAACAAAAGUGUCCAGCUGGCUCAAGGCAAGUCUGCCUAGUGCAGUACCCUACUCCUGGCAGGAGCCAGCACCAUGCCACAAGGGUUGAAAAAGACAGAAAGAAUCCUGCAGCAUUCAGAAGAAACAUCUGUGCAAGCUUCUUGAUCUUUGGAAGCCUGAUAUUGAUUGAAGUCGGGAGCAUGGAAUUUAACAUCUCUUUCACAGAAUGCUCCAGAAAGUGGCUAUUCCAAAGCAGGAAAGCACAAGGGGAAUUGCAAAUUUCUCAAGUCCCGUAGUGAGAGUAGGGGAGCAGAGGAUUCCAGCCCUGUCCUCACUGCUGGACCCAGAGGAGGGUGA
This is a long non-coding RNA of Haemorhous mexicanus (house finch), 609 nucleotides long. RefSeq lists it as uncharacterized. The transcript has 3 exons. Lineage: Eukaryota; Metazoa; Chordata; Aves; Passeriformes; Fringillidae. The record is from RefSeq and is a predicted model, not a curated record.